Molecule: RNA transcript, 3462 nt
Organism: Benincasa hispida (wax gourd)
Lineage: Eukaryota; Viridiplantae; Streptophyta; Magnoliopsida; Cucurbitales; Cucurbitaceae
Gene: CPL2
Gene name: carboxyl-terminal domain (ctd) phosphatase-like 2
Source: RefSeq, a predicted model, not a curated record
UCCAUUUGUUUGAAACCAAAGGCCUGAGGCUACGAAGAGAGAAAUUUUGGGAGAGAGAAUUUGGAAGAGAGACUGGUGGUGGGGCUCAGAGAGAGAGACUGACCAGAAGAGUAAUAGGAAGAGGAGAGAAACAGAAGAGAGAAAGAGAGAAAAAAACUUCAUAUUCAACUACUCUUUGGCCAAUAAUUUCUCACAUUUUUUCUGUUUUUCCUCUCCCUCUUUCUCUUCUUCUUGUGAUUUUCUUUCCACGUUUUCCAUAAUUUGUUCCGAAUGAGCCGUUUAGGGUUCAAAUCGGCGGUGUUUCACGGCGACGUCCGUCUUGGGGAACUUGAUGCUAUUCCGGCCACGGACCAGAAUUUUCAGUUUCCGAACAACGAGAUUAGAAUCCACCGUAUAUCGCCGCCUAGUGAGAGAUGUCCUCCUCUUUCAGUUCUUCAGACAAUUUCUUCAUUUUCUCUUAGGUGUAAGCUACAAUCUUCCUUGCCUGUUGAACAGCCGCACUUGAUCCAGCUUCACUACUCCUGUUUCCACGAAUUGAAGACAGCAAUUGUGUUGGUUGGAGACGAAGAAAUUCACCUGGUUGCAAUGCCGAGCAAGCAGAAGAACUUUCCGUGCUUUUGGUGUUUUGCAGUGCCGUGUGGCUUAUAUCUAUCAUGUUUAGGAAUGCUAAAUCUUAGGUGUCUUGCAAUUGUUUUUGAUCUAGACGAGACACUUAUUGUGGCAAACACUAUGAAAUCUUUUGAAGAUAGAAUCGAAGCUCUUCGAGUUUGGAUUGCGCGAGAGACAGAUCCAUUGCGGAUAUCUGGAAUGUCUGCUGAACUGAAGCGGUACAUGGAAGAUCGGUCACUAUUGAAACAGUAUAUUGAGAACGAUACAGUUAAUGAUAAUGGAAGGAUUUUCAAGGUGCAGCUGGAAGAGGUUCCUCCACUAAACGGCAACUGCCAGAAAGUAGUGCGUCCUAUUAUUAGAUUGCUGGACAAGAAUAUUGUUCUUACUCGAAUCAAUCCAGAGAUUCGUGAUACUAGUGUUCUUGUGAGGUUACGUCCUGCAUGGGAAGACUUAAGAAGCUAUUUGACUGCCAAGGGACGCAAGCGAUUUGAAGUUUAUGUAUGUACCAUGGCUGAAAGAGAUUAUGCAUUAGAAAUGUGGAGGCUUCUUGAUCCAGAAGCGCACCUGAUUGCAACUAAGCAGCUUCUUGAACGUGUUGUUUGUGUCAAAUCAGGCUCUAGGAAGUCUUUGCUGAAUGUCUUCCAAUCCGGUUCAUGUCAUCCAAAGAUGGCCAUGGUUAUUGAUGACCGUUCAAAGGUUUGGGAAGACAAAGACCAACCACGUGUUCAUGUAGUUCCAGCAUUUACUCCUUACUAUGCUCCUCAAGCAGAGACAGCAAAUGCGGUCCCUGUCCUCUGUGUGGCUAGGAAUGUUGCAUGCAAUGUCAGGGGUUGUUACUUCAAAGAAUUUGACGAAAGUUUGUUGCGACGGAUUCUGGAAAUUUCUUAUGAAGAUGAUGUGGUUGAUCUACCUCCUGCUCCUGAUGUGAGCAGCUAUAUGAUGUCAGAGGAAGCUGGUUUUGUAUCCAACGAGACUGUGAAUGCUCCAAUUUGUGAAGGAAUGAAUGGUGUUGAAGUGGAAAGGAGAUUGAAUCAACCAGAUGAUAAGCAUGUAAUAGACAUGGCCAAUAAUUCUACCACGAGCCAAACGGAUGCAAAAGCAGAUACUUCUCAAGUGCCACCACCUCUCAAUCCGAAUGUUAUUGGACCAAAAUAUUCAAGAACUUUACUGCCUUCUCAAAAGCCUGGUUUGCUUGGGGCCCCUGUCAGACGAGAUCUCUCUUCUGAUCAUGACAUGAAGAGAGGACUCCUAGCUAUGAAACCUGGUAUAGAUCUUAGGACACAGAACUUUGGCGAACCCCCUAUUCUCUCCAGAAUGCCUGUACAAGUAUCAGCAUCCGGAUUACAGGUGCUAGGAAGUUCAUUAGUGGAUGAUGACUCCAGUAAAGGACAUCAAAAUAGUCGAUCUUCAGGACUUGUUCAAGAAUCUGAUGCUUCAAAAUCUGAUAAACAUCGGUCUCAUCAGAACCUAUUUAGCAAUAUUUCACAAGGACUUGCUAUAUCUCAAAAUCGAGCAUCUAUCAAUAAUAAAGAACAUCAAACAAUUCAAACCGAAGCAGAGAUGGUUUCUAUACCUCCGCCCUCGUUAUACAUUGGAGUUCUACAAGAAAUUGGUCGUAGAUGCAGCUCAAAGGUUGAGUUUAAAACUGUUGUAAGUACCAGCAAGGAUUUGCAGUUUUCAGUUGAGGUUUUGUUUACCGGCGAGAAGAUUGGUGUUGGUUUGGGUAAGACGAGGAAAGACGCUCAACAACAAGCUGCUGAGAAUGCGCUUCACAAUUUGGCAGAUAAGUAUGCUGCACAUAUCAAGCCUCUUAUGGGACCCAUGGAUGCAGAUCUCGACAAGGUUUCUAUUGGAGUUGAAAAUGGAUUUUUAUGGGACACUACUGCUCCUGCAGAUAACGAGUUGCUGAAGGAAGAAGACGUUUUGCAUAAAGAGAACAACUCUGAGGCUUUUGAUGAACCUCCUGAGAGUACUAAUUCUGAUUCGGCAAAUCAGCAGCAGCAGCAUGUUCAGAAGCGGCAGAGUUCCCCGAGAUCAUUUCCAAGUAAACGAUCAAAGGAAGAUGAUGUUCAUGGUCCAAAAAAUCAUCAUCUUGCAGCUUCACGGCAACAGAAGAAUGGCCAUUCCAUUACUUGAAGAAUGACAAUAAAUAUUAGCCAUCCCACCAAAAAAAAAAUUGUUAAAUUUUGUAACCCAGCCCUUCAAUUUGGCACAUUCCAUGGAACAAAAACAAAGCUUCCUGCCUCCCAAAAAGGGCCUUGAGGUAAUUUUAGGACAAGUAAAAGAGGGAGGGAGCAAGUGGACAGAUACUAUAUAAUCCAACGGAACAAGAACAGUUUAAAAUGCGAGUGAACUGCCAAAAUUGGGCCGGUUCUAAAGCUGAAAGGAAAAAGGAUCAUGGUGACUAACUAUGUUUCAUUCUUGGUCUUCUCUCGAUUUCGAGAAGACAAACAGUGAUUCGCGCCGGGAGCCCAGAGGAGCAAAGCUCAUUUUCGGGUAAAGCGGCGCAUAAAAAAGGGCUGGCCCGUCAAAAGUCCGGUUCCUUCGCGAACGAAGUUCAGAAUCAACAAGGGUUCGUAGAACGAAGGGAGUGUACAACUGGGGCGCAGCCCCACUUUUUUGUUCGUAACGAGGGAGAUCUCGAAUGGGGUUCUUCACGAAGUUCGAAAGAAAGGAAUAAAAAAGAGUUUCUCUAUGGCCUCCUCGUUUUGAGACAUUAUGGCUUUGGGGUCGACCCCGGUAACAAAGAAGGAAUCCAUAAAAACUUGGGAUCCAUAGAAAAAUUUUCGUUUUUCCCCCCAAAAGUGACAAUUUCGAGAAACUUUGCAACAUUUAAAAAAAAAAAUUGAAUUA